UGGGGAAUAUUGCACAAUGGGCGAAAGCCUGAUGCAGCAACGCCGCGUGAGUGAUGAAGGCCUUCGGGUUGUAAAGCUCUGUCUUCUGGGACGAUAAUGACGGUACCAGAGGAGGAAGCCACGGCUAACUACGUGCCAGCAGCCGCGGUAAUACGUAGGUGGCAAGCGUUGUCCGGAUUUACUGGGCGUAAAGGAUGCGUAGGCGGAUACUUAAGUCAGAUGUGAAAAUCCCGGGCUUAACUUGGGAACUGCAUUUGAAACUGGGUAUCUAGAGUGCGGGAGAGGAAAGUGGAAUUCCUAGUGUAGAGGUGAAAUGCGUAGAGAUUAGGAAGAACACCAGUGGCGAAGGCGACUUUCUGGACCGUAACUGACGCUGAGGCAUGAAAGCGUGGGGAGCAAACA
This 402-nucleotide ribosomal RNA is filed under the name uncultured bacterium. RNAcentral describes it as "bacterial SSU rRNA". It matches the Rfam family "Bacterial small subunit ribosomal RNA", at positions 355 to 774 of the family's 1533-position model. The record is from RNAcentral.